Long non-coding RNA from Pseudophryne corroboree (corroboree frog), 656 nucleotides. RefSeq lists it as uncharacterized. Lineage: Eukaryota; Metazoa; Chordata; Amphibia; Anura; Myobatrachidae. The record is from RefSeq and is a predicted model, not a curated record. The transcript has 2 exons.
GACUCACUUGUAUUGGUCUGCGCUUUUCAAUGCUUGUGUAGCCACUAGCCGUGUCCAGCGAUCUGCAGCUCGAAGGCUGCUGAGGCACUCAGCUGUCAGUGCAGGUCAGCGGAGGAGGCUGGAGCUGUGUGGAUGAUCUCUCACAGACUCACGGCCCGAAGCUUACCUCCAUCGCUGCUGCUAGUCAGACUCCCAGCUGAAGUGCAGGACACCACAGAGUACAAAUAGAACGUAAGAGCCUCAUUUCGUAGAGAGGUGUGUUUGACGCCACGGUGUUCCCACGCCAGAUGAGCCGGAGCUUCACAUCACGACUUUGCGCAAUUGCUAAUGUUUAUACGUCCGGACUGGAACAUGUUGUCCUAUCUCAUUUCACCGCAGACUUGUCCACACAUGUGUUGCUACUGGCUUGCCGUACUCGUCCAUUUUGAAGGCAUUCUGACUCUUUUAAUUACUCCUGAAAAUAUUAUUUUUACAUAAAAAAUUUUUUUUUUAUUCUGAUACAUUCUUCUGACUUCUUUAUGGAUUCAUUCAACAUUUGCUAAACUGUUGUGUUUUCUUCAUUUUUCCGUGUAGGCGUCAGCCUGCGUUUAUGUGGCACAUUGAAACAGCAGUAGUUACAUUACUGUAUGUAAAAUGAAUAAAGUAUUUUAAAAUUG